GAUGAACGCUGGCGGCGUGCCUAAUACAUGCAAGUCGAGCGAACAGACGAGGAGCUUGCUCCUCUUACGUUAGCGGCGGACGGGUGAGUAACACGUGGAUAACCUACCUAUAAGACUGGGAUAACUUCGGGAAACCGGAGCUAAUACCGGAUAAUAUAUUGAACCGCAUGGUUCAAUAGUGAAAGACGGUUUUGCUGUCACUUAUAGAUGGAUCCGCGCCGCAUUAGCUAGUUGGUAAGGUAACGGCUUACCAAGGCAACGAUGCGUAGCCGACCUGAGAGGGGAAUCGGCCAAACUGGAACGGAGACACGGUCAAGAUUCCUACGGGAGGCAGCAGUAGGGAAUCUGCCGCAAUGGGCGAGAGCCUGACGGAGCAACGCGGCGGGAGUGAUGAAGGUCUUCGAAUCGUAAAACUCUGUUAUUAGGGAAGAACAAAUGUGUAAGUAACUAUGCACGUCUGGACGGUACAUAAUCAGAAAGCCACGGCUAACUACGG
RNAcentral lists this ribosomal RNA (496 nucleotides) under uncultured bacterium. RNAcentral describes it as "partial 16S ribosomal RNA". It matches the Rfam family "Bacterial small subunit ribosomal RNA", at positions 28 to 506 of the family's 1533-position model. The record is from RNAcentral.